Dendrobium catenatum is the source of this 644-nucleotide long non-coding RNA. RefSeq lists it as uncharacterized. The record is from RefSeq and is a predicted model, not a curated record. Lineage: Eukaryota; Viridiplantae; Streptophyta; Magnoliopsida; Asparagales; Orchidaceae. The transcript is spliced from 2 exons.
CGAAAGAGGAGAGUUCGCUUUGAGAUGUCGGAGUUGUAAGAAUAGGAGAUCGGAAGAAUGUCGGUGGGUUUCGGCUGAAUGAGAAACCAACGAGAGCACCGGUCAACAGGUUCGCCAGUUUACCGGUUGAACCGGCGGUUCAUCCCAAAACCGCCCAGUUUAAUGCAAGGGCGAUUUUCAGACUGGACCGAACCAGUCCUCAAACCGGUUCACGGUUGAACCGACCGGUCCGGUCCGGUUUUCAAAGCACUGAUAGUGGAGAACAACUUCUUUUUUUUCACAUAUUUUUUAAAUUUCUAAAAAUAAUCUUGGAUGAAAUUUCUAACACUUCUAUUUACUAUGCAUGAGAUUUGGCAAUGAUCAUAAUAAAGAUAUAUAUAUAUAUAUAUAUAUAUCACCACCUAGAUCAAAUUCCUUCAUAUUCCACUUCAUUUUCAAACCAACCUUGAUUUCUUAAUUGAAGGCUUUGUUGUUCUUAUUUUUCAUCUUUCUCUUGAUUUUUAUAGCAAACAUACUAGAUUUGUUGAAGCCUUUGAUGAGAAAGAGAGAUUGAUGUAGAAUUUUUGAUACAAUAUAAUUUUGUACUUCAUCAAUAUGAACACAUCUUCUAAUGAUGCACUGAUGAUUAAGGAUUAUCUUCUAAA